UACGUAGGGGGCAAGCGUUAUCCGGAUUUACUGGGUGUAAAGGGAGCGUAGACGGCGAUGCAAGUCUGAAGUGAAAGGCGGGGGCCCAACCCCCGGACUGCUUUGGAAACUGUAUGGCUGGAGUGCAGGAGAGGUAAGUGGAAUUCCUAGUGUAGCGGUGAAAUGCGUAGAUAUUAGGAGGAACACCAGUGGCGAAGGCGGCUUACUGGACUGUAACUGACGUCGAGGCUCGAAAGCGUGGGGAGCAAACAGG
This 253-nucleotide ribosomal RNA is filed under the name uncultured bacterium. Its description in RNAcentral is "partial 16S ribosomal RNA". It matches the Rfam family "Bacterial small subunit ribosomal RNA", at positions 524 to 776 of the family's 1533-position model. The record is from RNAcentral.